AUUGAACGCUGGCGGCAGGCCUAACACAUGCAAGUCGAACGGUAGCACAGAGAGCUUGCUCUCGGGUGACGAGUGGCGGACGGGUGAGUAAUGUCUGGGAAACUGCCCGAUGGAGGGGGAUAACUACUGGAAACGGUAGCUAAUACCGCAUAACGUCGCAAGACCAAAGUGGGGGACCUUCGGGCCUCACACCAUCGAAUGUGCCCAGAUGGGACUAGCUAGUAGGUGGGGUAAUGGCUCACCUAGGCGACGAUCCCUAGCUGGUCUGAGAGGGUGACCAGCCACACUGGACCUGAGACACGGUCCAGACUCCUACGGGAGGCAGCAGUGGGGAAUAUUGCACAAUGGGCGCAAGCCUGAUGCAGCCAUGCCGCGUGUAUGAAGAAGGCCUUCGGGUUGUAAAGUACUUUCAGCGGGGAGGAAGGCGGUGAAGUUAACAGCUUCACCGAUUGACGUUACCCGCAGAAGAAGCACCGGCUAACUCCGUGCCAGCCGCCGCAGUAA
This 504-nucleotide ribosomal RNA is filed under the name uncultured bacterium. Its description in RNAcentral is "partial 16S ribosomal RNA". It matches the Rfam family "Bacterial small subunit ribosomal RNA", at positions 30 to 523 of the family's 1533-position model. The record is from RNAcentral.